GAUGAAGAACGUAGCGAAAUGCGAUAAGUAAUGUGAAUUGCAGAAUUCAGUGAAUCAUCGAAUCUUUGAACGCACAUUGCGCCCGCCAGUAUUCUGGCGGGCAUGUCUGUUCGAGCGUCAUUUCAACCAUCAAGCCCCAGGCUUGUGUUGGGGACCUGCGGCUGCCGCAGGCCCUGAAAACCAGUGGCGGGCUCGCUGUCACACCGGGCGUAGUAGAUUUUAUCUCGCUCAGGGCGUGCUGCGGGUUCCGGCCGUUAAAAAGCCUUUUUUACCCAAGGUUGACCUCGGAUCAGGUAGGAAGACCCGCUGAACUUAAGCAUAUCAAUAAGCGGAGGA
Molecule: unclassified non-coding RNA, 336 nt
Filed under: soil metagenome
Description: partial contains 5.8S ribosomal RNA, internal transcribed spacer 2, and large subunit ribosomal RNA
Rfam family: 5.8S ribosomal RNA (bases 1-120)
Source: RNAcentral